UGCGUAGGUGGCAGGGUAAGUUUGAUGGGAAAUCUCCGGGCUUAACCCGGAAACUGCAUUGAAUACUAUCUUGCUCGAGGUUUGGAGGGGGGACUGGAAUUCUCGGUGUAGCAGUGAAAUGCGUAGAUAUCGAGAGGAACACCAGUGGCGAAGGCGAGUCCCUGGACAACACCUGACACUGAGGCACGAAAGCUAGGGGAGCAAACA
This 207-nucleotide ribosomal RNA is filed under the name uncultured bacterium. RNAcentral describes it as "partial 16S ribosomal RNA". It matches the Rfam family "Bacterial small subunit ribosomal RNA", at positions 568 to 774 of the family's 1533-position model. The record is from RNAcentral.